RNAcentral lists this unclassified non-coding RNA (424 nucleotides) under Yarrowia lipolytica. The record is from RNAcentral. Lineage: Eukaryota; Fungi; Ascomycota; Dipodascomycetes; Dipodascales.
AUCACCUGCCCCUCUCUGUUACCUGGUACCCACUCCUUUGUGCCAGCAACACCGUCCACCGCAUUUCUCGCCACUUGCAUUUUGCAUCAACCUCUUGGUAAUCACCACACACUUUCAAGAACAUCUUUUUACUCGAAAAAACAUGGCAGUCAAGUGGUCUGACCAACACGACAAGGUCGCCCAGGUGCACGUCAGAACGCACCAUCUGUGCCGGUCCAUCGACCAGAUGGUAGACCAUCUGUACAACAUGUACCCGGAUCUGGAUCGAAACGUGAUUGAAGUCCACGUGAAGAUGUGGGAGGAUUACUACAAGAAGGCCUGGUAGCGCUGGCGCGCCGGGAUCUAUUUAUUGCCUGUUCAACGGGCAACUGCUUACGCUGUUAUUUAUCUUUCUGAAUUCGAAAUUCCCCUUUGUUCGAUGAUC